CAUCCUUCACCAAAUCAAACCGACAACCAUGGCAGCAAAUAGUACUUCCAAAUCCCUGCAAAAACAAAGAAAAAACAUCAAUCCAACCUUGAGUUCAUCCACGAAGGAGUGACAAGUCAUGGAGGGGAUUUGAAUUUGAAUUUCAAACCCCCCUCUUCCGAAAUUAUUGAAAUUUCUUUUUCAAAUCCGGACUUUCAAGUCUGGAUUUGCGCCUAUAAAUAUGAGUUUCUUCAACACCCAGUAGGGGGAGGGCACCAAAAAAAAAAAAAGAUCCGAGGAAGAGAGUAGAAAUCAGGGAAGCCGAGAGGUGGAAACAAAAAGAGGUUUCAAAAUUAUUGGUUUCUUUCCGAUUCCGAUCCAAGAUCGGAGUUCCUUGGUUUGAAUUUCUAGCCACCGAAAGAUCUCAAUGUUGAAGCCUCACGUUUGCUGCCCACAAAAAGGUGCGAGUCUUCCCUUUAAACGUCAAUUUUUAUUUCCUUGUUCUUUUUAUCUCGUUCAGUUUAUGGAAGGUGUGGUUUCGUUAUAUUUUCAAAUUUGUUGUUGGCGUUGUUGCUUUUGCGGAUAAAAUAUGACUUCGAUUCUAAAAAUGAAUUUGGUUGUAAAUUUCGAUCAAGUUUGAGUUGUUGUUGAUUUUGAAAGUUGGGAUUGAGUGUUGAUUUUAUCAAAUUUACAUUGUUGUUGAUUCUGGGAAAUGAACUCGUAAGUGUAUAAUUUACGUUUGGGUUCGAGUUGAGAUCGUUGUGAUGAUUGUUUACUAUCCAUGGGUCAUUUUUGAUUUUUUAGACGUGGUUGUUCUGUGCCGAUUAUUCAGGAUAUGUGAGUCUGUUUUCGGGGUUGUGUCGUUGUUGCAAUUGUGAGGUCCUGUAAAUCACUUUUGGCUGGUCCUUGAGAAAUAUUCAUGCAUUUUUGUGCUUAACUUCGUGAAUAUGUGAAUAGGCGGGCUACUUCGGCUUCAAGUUUUGGUUAUAAUAUUGUUCCAUAAAGCCUAUGAGAGAUGGAAAAUCAGCUUUUUAUGUCUUCAUCCUUUUGUUGUUUUAAUUUCCGCGGAUGUGUGAUUUUCAGGCCUCGGGUUGUGUCAGUAUUGUUGUUUGUUCAUUUUAUUUUUGAGUCCGAAUGGUGUUGUGGGAAAUUAACUCUUUGCUUCGACAUCGUCUUAUUGCGAUUCAAUGGCUUUGGGUAUGUGGGCUCUUAUUUUGUGUUAUUUCUCACCAGAAAUGGUGCUAUCAGAAUGGUGUCUGAUUUCCAUUCUUCUAUUUCGUCGAUCAUUUAAGUGGGACUGCUCUGUUUUAAUCUGCAAGUUUAAUUAUUUGAUUGAAUGCUUUAGUCCUCUAGUUGGUUUCGGGUACGAAUUCACCUUUUUCUUUUUUUGUUUCUUUGUCGUUGUAUUUUCUUCGACAUUUUUGAUUCUAUCGAAUGUAAGAUUCAUUUUGAUUUCAAGUGGUAUGGUUGUGGUUAUCUUGGUCUUGCAAGUAAAAGAUGUAGUUUCUUUAAUCUGAAAAAUUAUUCGGUGUUGAAUGCACGGAUUUCUAGAUAUAUGAGUAUAUGUGUUUAUCCCGUUUGGUUGCUGUGGUUGUUCGGGAAUUUUGUUGAAUAUGAUUAGAUAUAAAAUCUAUUUGUGUAAACAUGAAUCUGUAGGUAUAUGAACAUGGCACCUUUUAUCACGUUUUUUAAAGCAAAAUAUGGUUAAAUUGAUUGCUUGUAGCCAUCCUUUGGUAUUUGAUUUCGUGGGUUGAAUUGGAUGAAUCAUGGAGGAGAAAUUAACUUGUUUAUUUGGGGGGGUUUGUUUUUUAUGGAUCUUUCAAUGUUUUCAAUAUCUGCAUUCUAGUUUUUUCCUUGUCAUCAAGUCUUGAAAGAAAAGAAUUGAUCCUUGUUUAGGCAAAACAUUGGUGAUAAUAAUUGUUUUGGACAUAUAAUUAUCGGUUAGUAAUAAUAAUAAUCCUCCCUUUGCUGAUAACAAUUAUUGGAUUGGCAUGCUAAACGAGUAGUAAUUUCCUUGAAUUUGUUCUUUGGUUUUUCUUAAAAUAGUGCUAUUUUAACUUCAAGAGGGUAAAAAUGUUUAGGUGAUUUAGUGCGUAUCUAUAUCUGUGUUGGUUUCCAAAAUCAUAAUUUCCUUUUUAAAGAAUGUUGUUUGUGGAUGUGCACAUUGUUCCCUAUACGACCACAGUUCAUAUUUUUUCGCAAAAUGAUUGUCUAUUGCGUUAUAUUUUGUGUUUAUAUCUUGUACUCCCACAGAAUAAAUGAAUUGUUGGAUUUUGACACAUAGAUUAAGAAAAAAACAUUGAAAACAUAAAUUUAACACAACUUUUCAUUUUUAUCCUUAAAAAAAAAAAGUUGACCUUGUAAUACCUUUUCAAAAGUUAAUUGAUUGUCAAAUUAUAAGGGUAAAUUUGAAAAAAAUUUAAUAAUUCACUUAUUUUGAAACACCAAUAAAUACCCUAACAACUCACUUAUUCCGAAACGGAGGGAGUAUUAUAUUCUCUUUAUUUCAUAUUUUAUUCAUUUAUUAGAUCUUGAAUUAUUUUUCUAAUCCUUAUUUUCUCUCUUUGUUUACAUGUAAAUUCGGAUGUUGGAGUUCUUUCGUAACGAAACUGGUCUUGACCCAACAUCGGGUCACCUGCAACUAGGAUCGCAGAGUUCGGAGUCUACACCUCAUUUGCCUCAAUAGGAACUUAUAACUUAUAGUAUCGAGUUCUUACCCUUCUUAAUCACUUUAUUGUUUGUACAUAUUUUACUAACCUUUGUAUUCAUUUGAAUUAUGAAUUUUCGUGUGGCGUGAUUGAAUUGAAACUAACACUAGUAUGAUUUAGUUUUUGUUUAAGUUUUUAGAUGUCUAUACUUGAUUCUCUUUGGUUAAUCUUUUAUAUAUUCAACGCUUACAAAUGUAGUAACGAUAUAUUACUCAAACCAUUAUUUUUAUACUCAUGAAUAACCUUUUAGAAUAAAAGAGGUAAAAUUACGGUUUAAAGACGGCUCUUAAAAAGAAAAUACAUCUUUUUCCAAAUUGAACAAAAGGUUAAUUAUUAUUAUUUUUAUUUGUUGAAGUUCUUCGAAUAAAUCAUCAAGCGACCUUUGUUAGUCAAAUCUUUUUUUCAAAUUGACAAAUUACUCACCUAUCAAAAUUUAAAUUU
Molecule: long non-coding RNA, 3128 nt
Filed under: Capsicum annuum
Lineage: Eukaryota; Viridiplantae; Streptophyta; Magnoliopsida; Solanales; Solanaceae
Description: long non-coding RNA (CANN_LNC003357)
Source: RNAcentral